RNAcentral lists this ribosomal RNA (400 nucleotides) under Mesobacillus foraminis. Its description in RNAcentral is "bacterial SSU rRNA". It matches the Rfam family "Bacterial small subunit ribosomal RNA", at positions 116 to 512 of the family's 1533-position model. Lineage: Bacteria; Bacillati; Bacillota; Bacilli; Caryophanales; Bacillaceae. The record is from RNAcentral.
CGUGGGCAACCUGCCUGUAAGACUGGGAUAACUCCGGGAAACCGGGGCUAAUACCGGAUAAUUCAUUCCCUCACAUGAGGGAAUGCUGAAAGACGGUUUCGGCUGUCCCUUUCCGAAGGGCCCCCGGCGCAAUUACUUAUUGGGGAAGGAACGGGUCCCCCAGGGCCCCAAGCCUAACCCAACUGGAAGGGUGAUCGGCCACCCUGGGAAUGAAAACCCGCCCCAAAUCCCACCGGAGGGCACCAUAAGGAAUCCUCCCCAAUGGACCAAAGUCCGACCGAACCACCCCCCGUGAACGAAAAAGGCUUUCGGUCCUAAACUCUGUGGCAGGGAGAAACAGUAUCGGAUAACUGCCGUACUUGACGGUACCUGACAGAAAGCCACGCUAACUACGUGCAGC